Heterocephalus glaber (naked mole-rat) is the source of this 128-nucleotide small nuclear RNA. Its record names the gene U2. It matches the Rfam family "U2 spliceosomal RNA". Rfam says of the family: U2 is a small nuclear RNA (snRNA) component of the spliceosome (involved in pre-mRNA splicing). The record is from Ensembl. Lineage: Eukaryota; Metazoa; Chordata; Mammalia; Rodentia; Bathyergidae.
AUCACUUCUCGGCCUUUUGGCUAAGAUCAAGUGUAGUAAUUUUUAUUUGUGUUUCACUUAUAUUUGCCACUGACACAAAAAUUUUAAAAAUGGAUUGAGUACAUUUCCAUUCCUACUAUUUGACCAAA